AGAGUUUGAUCAUGGCUCAGAGUGAACGCUGGCGGCGUGCUUAACACAUGCAAGUCGAGCGAAUUUUGGCAGCGUAUCGCCAGAGUUAGCGGCAGACGGGUGAGUAAUACUUGGGUAAUCUACCCUAGAGUGGGAAACAACCUGCCGAAAGGCGGGCUAAUGUCCCAUAAGACCACAGGAUGGCAUCAUCCAGGGGUCAAAGCUCCGCAAGGGGCGCUUUUGGAGGAACCCGAGUCCUAUCAUGGUAGUUGGUGAGGUAACGGCUCACCAAGCCUUUGACGGGUAGCCGGCCUGAAAGGGUGAUCGGCCACACUGGCACUGAGACACGGGCCAGACUCCUACGGGAGGCAGCAGUGGGGAAUUUUGGACAAUGGGGGCAACCCUGAUCCAGCGACGCCGCGUGGAGGAUGAAGGUCUUCGGAUUGUAAACUCCUUUUAGAGGGGAUGAAUAUGCCGGCGAAUAGCCGGCAUUGACAGUACUCUUUGAAUAAGCCACGGCUAACUACGUGCCAGCAGCCGCGGUAAUACGUAGGUGGCAAGCGUUACUCGGAAUCACUAGGCGUAAAGCGCAGGUAGGCGGUUCGGUAAGUCUUUUGUGAAAGCUCCUGGCUCAACUGGGAGAGGUCAAAGGAAACUACCGGGCUAGAGUGUGGUAGGGGAUACUGGAAUUCCUGGUGUAGCGGUGAAAUGCGUAGAUAUCAGGAGGAAUACCUAUGGCGAAAGCAGGUAUCUGGGCCAUCACUGACGCUGAGCUGCGAAAGCUAGGGGAGCAAACAGGAUUAGAUACCCUAGUAGUCC
Molecule: ribosomal RNA, 798 nt
Filed under: uncultured bacterium
Lineage: Bacteria
Description: bacterial SSU rRNA
Rfam family: Bacterial small subunit ribosomal RNA
Source: RNAcentral